AUUGAACGCUGGCGGCAUGCUUUACACAUGCAAGUCGAACGGCAGCACGGGUGCUUGCACCUGGUGGCGAGUGGCGGACGGGUGAGUAAUACAUCGGAACGUAUCCAGAAGAGGGGGAUAACGCAUCGAAAGAUGUGCUAAUACCGCAUAUUCUCUGAGGAGGAAAGCAGGGGCUCGCAAGACCUUGCGCUUUUGGAGCGGCCGAUGUCUGAUUAGCUAGUUGGUGGGGUAAAGGCCUACCAAGGCGACGAUCAGUAGUUGGUCUGAGAGGACGACCAGCCACACUGGGACUGAGACACGGCCCAGACUCCUACGGGAGGCAGCAGUGGGGAAUUUUGGACAAUGGGCGCAAGCCUGACGCAGCGACGCCGCGUGGGGGAUGAAGGUUUUCGGAUUGUAAACCCCUUUCAUGAGGAAAGAUAAAGUGGGUAACCACUUAGACGGUACCUCAAGAAGAAGCCACGGCUAACUUCGUGCCAGCAGCCGCGG
Molecule: ribosomal RNA, 489 nt
Filed under: uncultured bacterium
Lineage: Bacteria
Description: bacterial SSU rRNA
Rfam family: Bacterial small subunit ribosomal RNA
Source: RNAcentral